UGGGUGACAGUGGUGCAGGCUGUAUGAUCCCAGAACUCAUAAGGUAGAAGCUGGAGAGUCAAGAGUUCAAGGUUGACUUCAACUACUUGGAUGCAGUGUUGCUCAAUGGAGCCUAUUCAUGUUCCUGAGAAGAACACGGAGAGGAAAUGGAAGGAGUGGGUGGAACCAGAAGGUUCUGGGCCAAAGGUGUUCUCUGCACCUUAAAAGUGAGGUAUCAUGGCCUUGGGCCCCACACCUAUGGAGAUAGAGAAAACCAGAGCUGAGUGGCUACAAUACCCUGGAAACUUUCAUGGUUCAAAACAGCCAGAACCAGAUUGUUCUCCUCAGUAAACACCAUAUUCUCCAGAGCCAGUGUACCUGCUAUAUUGAGCCCUGAAUCUUCUAGCCUUAUAAUCUUUUUGGAAAUGGCCAAAUUCACAAUUAAAGCAUUGGGCAUUUUUAUUUCUAAGACUUCCAGCUAUAGCUUGUAUUGCAGUAAAAAAUAAAAAUGGUUCGGUGGC
Molecule: long non-coding RNA, 500 nt
Organism: Rattus rattus (black rat)
Lineage: Eukaryota; Metazoa; Chordata; Mammalia; Rodentia; Muridae
Exons: 3
Source: RefSeq, a predicted model, not a curated record